ACACGUAGGGGGCGAGCGUUGUUCGGAAUUACUGGGCGUAAAGGGCAUGUAGGCGGCUUGGAAAGCCUGGCGUGAAAGUCUGCAGCUUAACUGCAGGGGUGCGCUGGGAACUGCUGAGCUUGAGUGACGGAGAGGGAGCUGGAAUUCCUGGUGUAGGGGUGAAAUCUGUAGAUAUCAGGAAGAACACCGAUGGCGAAGGCAAGCUCCUGGCCGAUGACUGACGCUGAGGUGCGAAAGUGUGGGGAUCAAACAGGAUUAGAUACCCUGGUAGUCCACACAGUCAACGAUGUGCACUAGGUGCUGGGGCGGUAGCUUCGGUGCCGGAGCGAACGUGGUAAGUGCACCGCCUGGGGAGUAUGCUCGCAAGGGUGAA
This 373-nucleotide ribosomal RNA is filed under the name uncultured bacterium. RNAcentral's name for it is "bacterial SSU rRNA". It matches the Rfam family "Bacterial small subunit ribosomal RNA", at positions 523 to 898 of the family's 1533-position model. The record is from RNAcentral.